AUGCAUCAUCAACGUCAACACCUUUAUCCUAAAAAAGUUUUAAAUCCUCAAUUAAUGGACUUAGAUAAACAUCUAUGUCAUUUUCAGGUUGUCUUGGUCCCGAAAUCAUCAUACUUAACAUCAUAUACUUGUGCUUACUUCUCAACCAAGGAGAUAGGUUGCAAAAUUGUGAGAAGAACAGGCCACGAAGAAUGGCAAAGAAUCAUCUAUAUGGUGAAUUUUUCCAUCACAUUUUCUUUAAUUUGCAUUCCAUCUAAUAUUUUUUUUAUCAUUCACAAUAGCAAAAAGUCUCUUGAACCUUGA
Molecule: non-coding RNA, 303 nt
Organism: Vicia faba (fava bean)
Lineage: Eukaryota; Viridiplantae; Streptophyta; Magnoliopsida; Fabales; Fabaceae
Source: the annotation of a GenBank genome assembly